GAUGGGAUUUUUCUACAUUUUAAAAUCUGCAUGUGUUUUGUUUUGACACAGUUGGAUGGCAAUUGGAAGAGUACUGGCCCUGGGAAGACCCAGCUUUGAGCCUCAGGUUGUGUCUAAUCAUCUCUCUGUCCUUGGGCCAGUCAACUCACCUGUUCGUGCUGCCACAGAGACAGAGGGGCCACAUCAGAGAGAAAGACUCUACAGCUUGCCCAGAGUCGAGCUUAAAUGGAGCAGCAUGAUUUUUGUCUGAAAAGUCUGAGAUGGGACCAGUGGAAAGGUGUGCAUUUUAAGAAGGAUUUGCUUCCCCAUCUUGUGCCUUCUGUGUCUUGCAGCACGACCUGGCCCUCCACCUAGGAAUCAUACCUUCAUCCCCCAUACUCAUAAGCAUCCUCAUUCCUGUUUCCUUGUGGAUGUCAUGGUCUGCUGUGAAGUCUGCUUGGUGACCCGUCCAGACCUGACUUGGAACCAGGUCAGCACACAGUUUCCAAUCUGGAGGUCUUUUCAACAUGCAGUUGAGGAUGGAGACGCUGGCCACAACAUAUAUGACAUUCCCCUGCCAGCCUCCCUCAGCAUCCCUCUGGAUCCCCUUCCCCCCUUUACUCAGAGUGUGUUCAGAAAAAGCACACUCAUUUUAGCAUGUGUCUGAGUGAGGCCAAAUUAGGAAAGUAAGACUACAGUAAAAAUAAACUCACUAAAGCAUGCCAAAAAUAAAUGGCUUUUAGAUUAUCCACUGUUCUGGAUUAUGCUAACCCACUAGAGAGUGACCAGGACUGCUGCGUUCACCUGCUGCAGGCCAG
Molecule: long non-coding RNA, 797 nt
Filed under: Homo sapiens (human)
Lineage: Eukaryota; Metazoa; Chordata; Mammalia; Primates; Hominidae
Description: HSALNT0334196
Source: RNAcentral